Molecule: long non-coding RNA, 350 nt
Organism: Pezoporus flaviventris
Lineage: Eukaryota; Metazoa; Chordata; Aves; Psittaciformes; Psittacidae
Exons: 3
Source: RefSeq, a predicted model, not a curated record
UUUUUUUUUCAAAAUUUGGAACUGUAAGCCAGAAAUUCAGACCAGUGAGUGGGAAGCUGUAGAAGCCAUUCAAAAAAGGACCCCUUUCAAACUGAAAGCCAUGGAGAUAAAAGGGAACAUUGCUGCAGCCAGACAUAACCCUCUGCCUUUGCCAGGACAGAAGAAAGGCUGGAAGCAGAGAAAGGAACACAGUGUCCUCCUUAUACAACCCCUUAACACCAGGAAAAGGACCAUGAUCCAUCAGACUCUCCCACUGUCCACAACACUGUCACUUUGGCCCUUCACUGUCACAUAAUCCUACUUGUGCUAGAAAAGGUGCCUGAGAGACCCAAAUGACAAGAACUAGCCAA